CUCCAUCCAUCCUUCGAGCUACAGAGUUUGUGAACGCCUGUCGACAUCAUGUCUGAAGGUGGUGACUAGGGAGGUGAUUCAGUGGCCACUACAUCAAAGGAACACAAAGGUAGGAAAUUAACUCGAGUGGGCAAGAUUUUCAAAGCAUUUAGGC
Amblyraja radiata (thorny skate) is the source of this 154-nucleotide long non-coding RNA. RefSeq lists it as uncharacterized. The transcript has 4 exons. Lineage: Eukaryota; Metazoa; Chordata; Chondrichthyes; Rajiformes; Rajidae. The record is from RefSeq and is a predicted model, not a curated record.